GCCGGAGUGGUGGAAUUGGCAGACGCGGCGGACUCAAAAUCCGCAGAGACUUAGUCUCGUGGGGGUUCAAGUCCCCCCUCCGGCACCA
Molecule: transfer RNA, 88 nt
Filed under: Candidatus Theseobacter exili
Lineage: Bacteria; Pseudomonadati; Candidatus Auribacterota; Candidatus Auribacteria; Candidatus Theseobacterales; Candidatus Theseobacteraceae
Description: tRNA-Leu
Rfam family: tRNA
About the family: Transfer RNA (tRNA) molecules are approximately 80 nucleotides in length.
Source: RNAcentral